CCUACGGUAGGCUGCAGUGAGGAAUAUUGGUCAAUGGACGAGAGUCUGAACCAGCCAAGUAGCGUGAAUGAUGACUGCCCUAUGGGUUGUAAACUUCUUUUAUAUGGGAAUAAAAUGUUCCACGUGUGAGCUUUUGUAUGUACCAUAUGAAUAAGAAUAGGCUAACUCCGUGCCAGCAGCCGCGGUAAUACGGAGGAUCCGAGCGUUAUUCGGAUUUAUUGGGUGUAAAGGGAGCGCAGGUGGAUGGUUAAGUCAGUUGUGAAAGCUUGGGGCUGAACCGUAAAAUUGCAGUUGAUACUGGUAGUCUUGAGUACUGUAGAGGUGGGUAGAAGUCGUGGUGUAGCGGUGAAAUGCUUAGAGAUGACGAAGAACUCCGAUUGCGAAGGCAGUUCACUGGACUGAAACUGACACUGAGGCUCGAAAGUGUGGGUAUCAAACAGGAUUAGAUACCCGUGUAGUC
RNAcentral lists this ribosomal RNA (460 nucleotides) under uncultured bacterium. RNAcentral's name for it is "partial 16S ribosomal RNA". It matches the Rfam family "Bacterial small subunit ribosomal RNA", at positions 338 to 795 of the family's 1533-position model. The record is from RNAcentral.